AGAGUUUGAUCAUGGCUCAGGAUGAACGCUGGCGGCGUGCCUAAUACAUGCAAGUCGAGCGAAGGAAGUAGCAAUACUUCUUUAGCGGCGAACGGGUGAGUAACGCGUUGGUGACCUGCCUCGAAGCGUGGGAUAACAGUUCGAAAGGAUUGCUAAUACCGCAUGUGGUUGAAGAGAUUAGAAGCUUUCCAACUAAAGGAGAAAUUCACUUCGAGAGGGGCCUGCGUCCCAUCAGCUAGUUGGUAAGGUAACGGCUUACCAAGGCUAUGACGGGUAGGGGACCUGAGAGGGUGGCCCCCCACAAUGGAACUGAAACACGGUCCAUACACCUACGGGUGGCAGCAGUAGGGAAUAUUGCAUAAUGGGCGAAAGCCUGAUGCAGCAACGCCGCGUGUGCGAUGAAGGCCUUCGGGUCGUAAAGCACUUUUAGAGAGGAUGAGGAAGGACAGUACUCUCUGAAUAAGCCUCGGCUAACUACGUGCCAGCAGCCGCGGUAAAACGUAGGAGGCGAGCGUUAUCCGGAUUUACUGGGCGUAAAGCGCGUGCAGGCGGUAAGGAAAGUUGGAUGUGAAAGCUCCUGGCUUAACUGGGAGAGGUCGUUCAAAACUACCUAACUAGAGUGUGGGAGAGGGAGGUGGAAUUCCGGGUGUAGUGGUGAAAUGCGUAGAUAUCCGGAGGAACACCAGUGGCGAAAGCGGCCUCCUGGCCCAAGACUGACGCUCAGACGCGAAAGCUAGGGUAGCAAACGGGAUUAGAGACCCCGGUAGUCCUAGCUGUAAACGAUGUGGACUUGGCGUCGGCGGGUUUAAAUCCGUCGGUGUCGAAGCAAACGCGAUAAGUCCACCGCCUGGGGACUACGGCCGCAAGGUUAAAACUCAAAGGAAUUGACGG
This 891-nucleotide ribosomal RNA is filed under the name uncultured bacterium. RNAcentral describes it as "bacterial SSU rRNA". It matches the Rfam family "Bacterial small subunit ribosomal RNA", at positions 8 to 916 of the family's 1533-position model. The record is from RNAcentral.